AGUGAACGCUGGCGGUAGGCCUAACACAUGCAAGUCGAACGGCAGCACAGUAAGAGCUUGCUCUUACGGGUGGCGAGUGGCGGACGGGUGAGGUAUACAUCGGAAUCUACUUUUUCGUGGGGGAUAACGUAGGGAAACUUACGCUAAUACCGCAUACGACCUACGGGUGAAAGCAGGGGAUCUUCGGACCUUGCGCGAUUGAAUGAGCCGAUGUCGGAUUAGCUAGUUGGCGGGGUAAAGGCCCACCAAGGCGACGAUCCGUAGCUGGUCUGAGAGGAUGAUUCGGUACACUGGCACAGAGAAAGGAUCCAGACACCGACGGGAGGACGCAGUGGGGAAUAUUGGAGAAGGGGGGCAAGCGGGAUCCAGCCAUACCGAGUGGGUGAAGAAGGCGUUAGGGUGGGAAAGCCCUUUUGUUGGGAAAUAAAAGCAGCAGGUUAAUACCCCGCUGUUCUGACGGUACCCAAAGAAUAAGCACCGGCUAACUUCGUG
RNAcentral lists this ribosomal RNA (492 nucleotides) under uncultured bacterium. Its description in RNAcentral is "partial 16S ribosomal RNA". It matches the Rfam family "Bacterial small subunit ribosomal RNA", at positions 29 to 507 of the family's 1533-position model. The record is from RNAcentral.